This 1311-nucleotide long non-coding RNA is filed under the name Calidris pygmaea (Spoon-billed sandpiper). Its description in RNAcentral is "lncRNA (ENSCPGG00000003877.1)". The record is from RNAcentral. Lineage: Eukaryota; Metazoa; Chordata; Aves; Charadriiformes; Scolopacidae.
GUGGGGGGCAGAGGGGGGUCACAGGGUGAGUUGGGUGGGUGGGGGUCACAUAGAUUGGGGGUGCAGGGGGUGUUGCUGUCCCUCCCCCGACCUCUGCUCCCCCCCAGGUUGGACCUGAGUAACUGCUCCCUGCGCAGCCUCCCCCCAGGGCUGGCCGAGGCCACCGCCACCAUCGUCCUGGACCUGAGGGAGAACCCCCUGACGGCCCUCCCCGACGGCUCCUUCCUGGGCUUCACCCUCCUGCAGCGACUCGUGGUGCCGCUGGCACUGGAGUGCCCGGGCGGGAGCAGCGCCUGGGAGGAGGUGACGACGAGCGGGAGCAGCCGCAUCUGCCAGGGCCAGAAGAACCCCUGCAACGGCUCUGGGGAGAUCGGUAUGGCAGGGGACGGGGUGCCAUGUCCCCGGCACUGGGGAGGGAGGCAGGUGGGGGGUGGCCCCAGCCCGGUGACUCCCCCUGCUCUGCUCCACCAGCCUGGCCGUGCCCUGAGAAUGCCGCCUGUGCCCCGGAUGGCCCCGGACUCAUCCAGUGCCUCUGCAACAGCCCCUUCCACGGCUACAAGUGCCUGCGUGAGGGCACCUUCCCCGUGCUGCUCUUCUGCGGGGUCCUGGGAGCCGUCACCCUGUCCCUGUCCCUCCUGCUCUGGGGCACCCAGCGCCGGAAAGCCAAGACCCCCUGAGCAGGGAAGGGGGAUCUACGCCAGCGCCUCUGCCGAGCUGGGGGGCUCUGGGGACUGCGUGUUGUGGGGGGCUCUAUGUCCUGGGGGCUGGCUCCCCAUGUCGGGGCUGGGGAUGAAUAAAGCCCUCAGCAUCCUGUCCGUGUGUCUGUCUGACUCCCUCACACGGAACUGGGGUGCAGGUGGGGGGCAUGCAGGACCCUCCAGGCUGCGGUGGGGAGCUGGCCCGGGGGGCUGGGAGCGCCUCCUUCCCCCACCCAGGCUGUGGGGGUAGAACUGCUGCUGCCCGUGGGACCCCCGACCCAAAAUGGCGCAGUUUGGGAGGUUGGGAUGGAGAGAGCGCGAUGCAGGAUUGGGGAUGUGCAGACAGAACACGGGGAGGGAUGGCGGGAGCCGCAGCUCUGCCCUGGACUCACCGGUGGAACGACGGAGAUGGAGGUGGCAGGUGAUGGGACAGUGCUGGUGUCUUGUCCAGUCUCGGUCUCAGCGCUGGUCAGUCCGCGCCCUGGGUGGGAACAGAACAUCCAGAGCCGGGAGGAAGGAAGGGCUGGGCCCGGUCCCCCCCAUGUUGCUGCGGGGAAGGUGGGAGCGGAGCUGGGGACCGCGGGGGGUCCUUGUUUUCCACAACAAUCAUCGG